This 2079-nucleotide long non-coding RNA is filed under the name Anas platyrhynchos platyrhynchos (common mallard). RNAcentral's name for it is "lncRNA (ENSAPLG00000016960.1)". Lineage: Eukaryota; Metazoa; Chordata; Aves; Anseriformes; Anatidae. The record is from RNAcentral.
AUGUUUUUUUGGCAGUACCAAAUAAUAUAUUCCUCAAAACUUCUUAAUGGCACUGAGGCUUUGUGGAUAGUUGGUCACAUGAUGAGAAAAUUCAGCUAUCAUGGGCAAGGAGAAAACCCUUUACCUAUCCACGCGAGCAAUGCUAUUACCCUGCUUACACUCCUUAAUUGUCUGGACGGGAAGCUUGGCUUCUGGUUCAACCACAUGCUCUUCAGGAAGUAUUUACAUAACCAGAGUGGAUUUAUUAGGAAGAAAAAAUCAGUUUCCCUGCAUGUCUUCAGAGGCCCAAUGCAGCUAUUAUGGAAAUCGACUCCCAGCAAGGGUCUAUUAUCUAGUUUGGAUAGUAUGAUACUGAGAAAAAUAUAUGGCUAAGAGUAUAGAAGGCUCUAACCUCCUUUUUCAAAGGUGCCAAUUAAUUUGUCAUUUCAUAAUUUCGAAAAUUUUUCUUCAGGCUUUCUUAAGAUUAAAUAAGGACGUUCAGAAACAGUAAGAAUAAUUAAGGGGCAGUUAGGGAGAGGAAGAAUAUAUGCAGUUUGAUUGAGUUGAGGUAAACAACCACAGACAAUUAAACUGGAAUGAUGUAAUAUCAUUUAAGUUAGCAGCAGAACGUAUAAUUGGAAGGCGUGUGAUAGAACUGGGAAAACAUGAUGUGCAGUCGUUCUGAGUUAAGCUAUCUUACCCAAUUUAAUAACGUUUUAAAGAGAUGCUAAUCCCCUGUUUAGCAUGAUCGAAAUCGGACUGGACAAAGUGCUAGAAACUUCAGAAAGACAACCCUGUGGUUGGGUAUAGGUUGGGAACUAAUCGUUGGCAUUGAAAAGUUCAGGAGUUCUGGUCAAUUUUGAGGACUACGAGAGGGUCAGAAUCAAGAAAAAAGUUUAUCUGGAGUAUUAGAGAUUGCUCCCCAUAGAAAUAUUGUGAUAUACCAGGACCAGUAUAAAGAGGAGGAUGCUCUCUUAAUGCAGUUUGUGUGUUGAUUUGUACAGCCCAGCUUUCCAUCUAAGUUUGCCCAAGCACUGAAAGUUAUUUUAAUUGCCCAGUUUCUAUAAAGUGCACGAAUAACUCAUCGGGGAUGCUUUUGGCCCCUUCUUUCAGUGCUCGAGUAGACAGAUUUCAUUGCUGGUGUGUAUGCGCCCUGUGAGCACAAGGCCAAAUGAUUUGGACAAGCAGAGUCUAGUAGAUGCUAUCAGUGGACUACUACUUGAAGCGCCCUCGUUUCUCUAUCCUCGGGGCAUUAAAUAGUGGUGUGAGUACAAACAUUCAGGAUUUCAUUGUUUCCAUCCUACCACGACGAUGGAAAAGGUGCAGUACCUGUGCUGUGCGAUUCCUUUAACUUUACAAGCAACACUACAAUUAAUUUCAUGCAGUAAAUUAGGUCUACCUAAGAAAUACGGUUUCAAUUAACAUACUAGAUAUAUCUCUUUCUGUAGGGAUAAGAGAGCCAUAAGUUACGGGGGGUUAAGAUUUUCCCUAGCAUGAUUCUUCAGGACCUGUUUAUGACACUGCUGUUACUGCAGAGGUACGUGUCCCACCGUAACAUUUCCUCUUUCCAAGAGGAAACGUAGAGUGGAGGAAGGAUAAAAAAACACCCGAGUUUGUUUCUAAAUUCCAUGAGCAAAGCCCCAGUUGUGCUUUAAGGCAGCGUCUCUCGCUAAGUGUCCUACAAGCUGUGAUUCAGGGCUCCUGGGACACAUCUGUUGCCACGGUCAGCUCGCACUGACAGGGAAGUCUGACGGAAGCAGGAGAGGCGUGAUUCCAAGCACGAGCUGCUGCCCCUGCACGUAGCACGGGAUAAAAGAUUCAGCAGCAAUACGGUGCCUUUUUGAUUCAUGUGCUUUAAGUCCAAGGCCUGAAAAGACCAGUUUUAGUGCUUGGAUGCUCCCCGCAGGGACCUCAAUAGACACUGGCUUUGUGCUGAGCACCGUACGUAUUUAGAGCCCUGGUGGUGGUGAUCACCUUUGUAACUCCAGUGCCGUCUUACACAUAGUGCUGAGUGACUCCUGCCUUUUCUCUUACUCUCUACCAAGCUAUCCAGCCUUCAGAAACAAUAAACACCAGAAAUAGAUUCCCUUUUAUGACUGA